This is a non-coding RNA of Sus scrofa (pig), 305 nucleotides long. NCBI's taxonomy places the organism in Eukaryota, Metazoa, Chordata, Mammalia, Artiodactyla, Suidae. The record is from Rfam.
UAAUGUUGGAGCCAUCUGGCAUAAACAUCUGACACCACAUUGAUCUCCAGGUUGUCUUGGCUGCUCUGCCUGGCCCUCCCGGUGCCUUCAUCUUUCUUCACAACUCCAAGUUGUUCUUUCCACAUCUGCACUUCCUGUGAAGAUGUCAAUCUUCCCACAGAGAGGAGAGCACUUUUCAGUUAAGGGUGUAGGAAGAGCAGAGUAGCUUUUUAGAUCCUCUAAAACCAGAUCUCAAAACCUGUAAAAAAUAUGUUGAUUUUCCCUUAUUUCUAGGAAAGAUGGAUGGUAGGUUGUUUUCAUAUCAU